Molecule: ribosomal RNA, 251 nt
Filed under: uncultured organism
Description: partial 16S ribosomal RNA
Rfam family: Bacterial small subunit ribosomal RNA
Source: RNAcentral
CACGUGUAGCGGUAGAAAUGCGUAGAGAUGUGGAGGAACACCAGGUGGACGAAGGCGGUCUUUCGUGGUCUAGUAACUGACGCUGAGGCGACGAAAGCGGUGGGGAGACAAACGAGGUAUUAGACUACCCGUGGUACGUCCACCGACCGUAAACGAUGAGUGACUAAGUUGGUUACGGGGGUUUCCCGCCCCUUUAGUGCUGCAGCUAACGCAUUAAGCACUCCGCCUGGGGAGUACGGCCGCAAAGGCUG